This 253-nucleotide ribosomal RNA is filed under the name uncultured bacterium. RNAcentral's name for it is "partial 16S ribosomal RNA". It matches the Rfam family "Bacterial small subunit ribosomal RNA", at positions 524 to 776 of the family's 1533-position model. The record is from RNAcentral.
UACGUAGGGGGCUAGCGUUGUCCGGAAUCAUUGGGCGUAAAGCGCGUGUAGGCGGUCCGGUAAGUCCGCUGUGAAAGUCGAGGGCUCAACCCUCGAAUGCCGGUGGAUACUGUCGGGCUUGAGUACGGGAGAGGUGAGUGGAAUUCCCAGUGUAGCGGUGAAAUGCGUAGAUAUUGGGAGGAACACCAGUGGCGAAGGCGGCUCACUGGACCGGAACUGACGCUGAGGCGCGAAAGCGUGGGGAGCAAACAGG